GCUUACGGCCAUACCACCUCAAUGCGCCCGAUCUCGUCUGAUCUCGGAAGCUAGCAGGGUCAGGCCUGGUUAGUACUUGGAUGGGUGACCGCCUGGGAAUACCAGGUGCUGUAAGCU
Molecule: ribosomal RNA, 117 nt
Filed under: Larimichthys crocea (large yellow croaker)
Lineage: Eukaryota; Metazoa; Chordata; Actinopteri; Sciaenidae
Source: RNAcentral